Molecule: ribosomal RNA, 467 nt
Filed under: uncultured bacterium
Lineage: Bacteria
Description: partial 16S ribosomal RNA
Rfam family: Bacterial small subunit ribosomal RNA
Source: RNAcentral
GACGAACGCUGGCGGCGUGCUUAACACAUGCAAGUCGAACGGAAAGGCCUCUUUCGGGGGGUACUCGAGUGGCGAACGGGUGAGUAACACGUGAGUAACCUGCCCUUGACUUUGGGAUAACUUCAGGAAACUGGGGCUAAUACCGGAUAGGAGCUCUUGCUGCAUGGUGGGGGUUGGAAAGUUUCGGCGGUUGGGGAUGGACUCGCGGCUUAUCAGCUUGUUGGUGGGGUAGUGGCUUACCAAGGCUUUGACGGGUAGCCGGCCUGAGAGGGUGACCGGCCACAUUGGGACUGAGAUACGGCCCAGACUCCUACGGGAGGCAGCAGUGGGGAAUAUUGCACAAUGGGUGGAAGCCUGAUGCAGCAACGCCGUGUGCGGGAUGACGGCCUUCGGGUUGUAAACCGCUUUCGCUCAUGACGAAGCUUUGUGUGACGGUAGUGGGUAAAGAAGCACCGGCUAACUACGUG